AACAUGUUUAAAGGCAGAGUAGGUAAUCCUGGAAAAAUGGUCUGAGCAAGCUACAUUUUGAAAAUACACAAUUUAAAGUCCAAACCCCUUUCUUCAGACUUCCCCCUGAAGCCACGCCUCCAG
Sphaeramia orbicularis (orbiculate cardinalfish) is the source of this 123-nucleotide long non-coding RNA. RefSeq lists it as uncharacterized. The transcript is spliced from 3 exons. The record is from RefSeq and is a predicted model, not a curated record. Lineage: Eukaryota; Metazoa; Chordata; Actinopteri; Kurtiformes; Apogonidae.